GUGGGGAAUCUUGCGCAAUGGGCGAAAGCCUGACGCAGCCAUGCCGCGUGAAUGAUGAAGGUCUUAGGAUUGUAAAAUUCUUUCACCGGGGACGAUAAUGACGGUACCCGGAGAAGAAGCCCCGGCUAACUUCGUGCCAGCAGCCGCGGUAAUACGAAGGGGGCUAGCGUUGCUCGGAAUUACUGGGCGUAAAGGGCGCGUAGGCGGACAGUUUAGUCAGAGGUGAAAGCCCAGGGCUCAACCUUGGAAUUGCCUUUGAUACUGGCUGUCUUGAGUACGGGAGAGGUGAGUGGAACUCCGAGUGUAGAGGUGAAAUUCGUAGAUAUUCGGAAGAACACCAGUGGCGAAGGCGACUCACUGGCCCGUUACUGACGCUGAGGCGCGAAAGCGUGGGGAGCAAACAGGAUUAGAUACCCCUGUAGUCC
Molecule: ribosomal RNA, 425 nt
Filed under: uncultured bacterium
Lineage: Bacteria
Description: bacterial SSU rRNA
Rfam family: Bacterial small subunit ribosomal RNA
Source: RNAcentral